This 484-nucleotide ribosomal RNA is filed under the name uncultured bacterium. RNAcentral's name for it is "partial 16S ribosomal RNA". It matches the Rfam family "Bacterial small subunit ribosomal RNA", at positions 30 to 507 of the family's 1533-position model. The record is from RNAcentral.
AUUGAACGCUGGCGGCAGGCCUAACACAUGCAAGUCGAGCGGAUGAAGGGAGCUUGCUCCUGGAUUCAGCGGCGGACGGGUGAGUAAUGCCUAGGAAUCUGCCUGGUAGUGGGGGAUAACGUCCGGAAACGGGCGCUAAUACCGCAUACGUCCUGAGGGAGAAAGUGGGGGAUCUUCGGACCUCACGCUAUCAGAUGAGCCUAGGUCGGAUUAGCUAGUUGGUGGGGUAAAGGCCUACCAAGGCGACGAUCCGUAACUGGUCUGAGAGGAUGAUCAGUCACACUGGAACUGAGACACGGUCCAGCCUCCGACGGGAGGCAGCAGGGGGGAAUUUUGCGAAAGGGGCGAAAGCCUGACCCAGCAACGCCGCGUGAGGGAGGAAGGUCUUCGGAUCGUAAAACUCUUUAAUUAGGGAAGAAGGAAAGUGUAUGAAACUCUGCUUGUUUUGACGUUCCCAAAAAAGAAAGCCCCGGCUAACUUCGUG